AUGAACGCUGGCGGCGUGCCUCAUACAUGCAAGUCGAGCGCACGGACGAGAAGCUUGCUUCUCUGAUGUUAGCGGCGGACGGGUGAGUAACACGUGGAUAACCUACCUAUAAGACUGGGAUAACUUCGGGAAACCGGAGCUAAUACCGGAUGAUAUUUUGAACCGCAUGGUUCAAAAGUGAAAGACGGUCUUGCUGUCACUUAUAGAUGGAUCCGCGCUGCAUUAGCUAGUUGGUAAGGUAACGGCUUACCAAGGCAACGAUGCAUAGCCGAUCUGAGAGGGUGAUCGGCCACACUGGAACUGAGACACGGUCCAGACUCCUACGGGAGGCAGCAGUAGGGAAUCUUCCGCAAUGGGCGAAAGCCUGACGGAGCAACGCCGCGUGAGUGAUGAAGGUCUUCGGAUCGUAAAACUCUGUUAUUAGGGAAGAACAUAUGUGUAAGUAACUGUGCACAUCUUGACGGUACCUAAUCAGAAAGCCACGGCUAACUACGUG
Molecule: ribosomal RNA, 496 nt
Filed under: uncultured bacterium
Lineage: Bacteria
Description: partial 16S ribosomal RNA
Rfam family: Bacterial small subunit ribosomal RNA
Source: RNAcentral